This 1079-nucleotide long non-coding RNA is filed under the name Aquilegia coerulea. RNAcentral's name for it is "long non-coding RNA (ACOE_LNC000456)". Lineage: Eukaryota; Viridiplantae; Streptophyta; Magnoliopsida; Ranunculales; Ranunculaceae. The record is from RNAcentral.
CUCUUCGAAAACCCAAAAACCAUUUAUUUGAUUUUUUUUUUUACCCAUCUAAAUGUGAAAGAUAAAUACUAAUUUUUUUUUUAAAAUUAAAAAUCAUGCUAAACAUAAAAUUAUGCGCGAAAGCGCGUACAGCUACAUAGUAUUUUAUAAAUAACAAGACUACCCCUACUCUUUCACAUGCCACAACUUAAAUUGUAAAAACCAAAACCUAUGCCGGUGUCGGAGUCCGCUGACUUGAAAACCUUAAAUCCCUAAUAGAUCCAAUUAAAGAUUUGAAGGACAACACUUCUCUCUUUCUCAUCACAAUUCCUUCAAUUGUUAUUCAACAAACCAAUUGAAAAUAAGCUUGGUUUCAAUUCAACCCCACAUCCAUAGAUAGAUUUGAAGAAGAUGGAAGUUUCGAAUAUUUCACCAAAUCAACAACAAUCACCUGUUACAGAGACGAAACAGAGGAUCCCAUUCCCAGGUACACAUAAUCUUCUAAUUCGCAUCCUCGAUCAACAGGUUGAUGAAAACUAAAAAUAUCUUGAGCAUUAAUGCACAGUCCCUCACUCACCUGAACCUUCAAUUGUGCAUUAACAUACCUUGUUUCUAAUAUAUAUAUACCGAAAAGAAAAGAAAUAACCAUAUCUAUGUUUCUGAUGUAACACAAACACGAAGUCCAGCAAGACUAAGACCAAAUUGAAUUGAAUCAUGUGAAUGCUUUUAAAUCUCCAAAUUGAAACAUGUGAAUGCUUGAAAAUUUUGAUACGAUGAUAUAUUUUAUCUAUAUAUUAUUAUGUAGCACAGUCACUUGACAACACCCAAUAGCUCAGAGUGAAAGAAAUCCCUCAAAUUUCCAAUCAUAACUUAAAAUUGAUUCGAAUUAGCCAACAAAAAUAACAUUGCCACCAUCUACCUUCAAUUUGUUGGAUAAAAUUUUAUCGAUAUAGAAGAAUUAUUGCAACUCCCAAUGGAUCAGCCGUGACUCAGUUUCACUCUCCUUGACUCAGUUUUUUGAGUUAUGCAUUUAGAUAAUUUUGAAGUUUUAAAUUAAAUGGGUGAAUAACAUGUGGUAAGAAAUUUAGGUUUAUGUAAAU